CCGUCCUAAAGGAACCCACGGGCUAUAUGGGUUUAGCUCUCCCUGCUGAAAGGGCUCCAGUGCGUGUUACCCGUACAUACUAGAGAAAAACCUGAGAUGACUAUUACAUCCCCCAGAAUAUAAAGUGUUACAUCAUGCACAUGGUCACUAUGACCAAACCUCACAUUGGUAAAUAUGAGUUCCCAGUAUCUGCCCCCUAGGACCUCCACCUUUCACGACUUUGCUACACAACCC
RNAcentral lists this long non-coding RNA (234 nucleotides) under Capsicum annuum. RNAcentral describes it as "long non-coding RNA (CANN_LNC000997)". Lineage: Eukaryota; Viridiplantae; Streptophyta; Magnoliopsida; Solanales; Solanaceae. The record is from RNAcentral.